Molecule: small RNA, 60 nt
Filed under: Pseudomonas nitroreducens
Lineage: Bacteria; Pseudomonadati; Pseudomonadota; Gammaproteobacteria; Pseudomonadales; Pseudomonadaceae
Description: Pseudomonas sRNA P36
Rfam family: Pseudomonas sRNA P36
Source: RNAcentral
CACACUGUUACCGGAGACAUGCUCCGUAACAAAGCCGGGUUCAUCGGUAACGGAAACCCG